This 473-nucleotide ribosomal RNA is filed under the name uncultured organism. Its description in RNAcentral is "partial 16S ribosomal RNA". It matches the Rfam family "Bacterial small subunit ribosomal RNA", at positions 335 to 800 of the family's 1533-position model. The record is from RNAcentral.
ACUCCUGCGGGAGGCAGCAGUAGGGAAUCUUCCACAAUGGGUGCAAACCUGAUGGAGCAAUGCCGCGUGAGUGAAGAAGGUCUUCGGAUCGUAAAGCUCUGUUGUUAGAGAAGAACACGUGCUAGGUAACUACUAGCGCCUUGACGGUAUCUAACCAGAAAGUCACGGCUAACUACGUGCCAGCAGCCGCGGUAAUACGUAGGUGACAAGCGUUGUCCGGAUUUAUUGGGCGUAAAGGGAGCGCAGGCGGUCUGUUUAGUCUAAUGUGAAAGCCCACGGCUUAACCGUGGAACGGCAUUGGAAACUGACAGACUUGAAUGUAGAAGAGGAAAAUGGAAUUCCAAGUGUAGCGGUGGAAUGCGUAGAUAUUUGGAGGAACACCAGUGGCGAAGGCGAUUUUCUGGUCUAACAUUGACGCUGAGGCUCGAAAGCGUGGGGAGCGAACAGGAUUAGAUACCCGGGUAGUCCCAUGA